Molecule: ribosomal RNA, 583 nt
Filed under: uncultured bacterium
Lineage: Bacteria
Description: bacterial SSU rRNA
Rfam family: Bacterial small subunit ribosomal RNA
Source: RNAcentral
UGGCGGCAGGCCUAACACAUGCAAGUCGAACGGUAACAUGACUAGCUUGCUAGUUGAUGACGAGUGGCGGACGGGUGAGUAACGCGUAGGAAUCUACCCAGUAGCGGGGGAUAAGCCAGAGAAAUUUGGUCUAAUACCGCAUACGCCCUUCGGGGGAAAGCAGGGGAUCUUCGGACCUUGCACUAUUGGAUGAGCCUGCGUGAGAUUAGCUUGUUGGUGAGGUAAUGGCUCACCAAGGCGACGAUCUCUAGCUGGUCUGAGAGGAUGAUCAGCCACACUGGAACUGAGACACGGUCCAGACUCCUACGGGAGGCAGCAGUGGGGAAUAUUGCACAAUGGGCGCAAGCCUGAUGCAGCCAUGCCGCGUGUGUGAAGAAGGCCCUAGGGUUGUAAAGCACUUUCAGCAGUGAGGAAAGGUUAGUAGUUAAUACCUGCUAGCUGUGACGUUAACUGCAGAAGAAGCACCGGCUAACUCCGUGCCAGCAGCCGCGGUAAUACGGAGGGUGCGAGCGUUAAUCGGAAUUACUGGGCGUAAAGCGCGCGUANGUGGAUUGGUCAGUCAAAUGUGAAAGCCCAGGGCUCA